CCUAUAAGAAAAAAAUAAAACCACACACACUAGAGAAUGGCACCUACUACAUUAUCAGGAACUGCACCAUUUGCACAGCAAGCUGGUAGCAUUCACUGUGAAACGUUUUUCCCCAUUUUUCAGUUGCUCAUGUUCUCAAGUGUCUUUUGCAGGAGAAUUUUCCAUCCUCUGUCUUAAUUCAAAACAGAAUUUUUUUUUUUAAAGGAAUGAGCAAAACUUGAGUCAAAUUUGAGUAACACAAGCAUAAAAACCCACUUUCCCCCAUAUGUUCUAAUGAGAAAUCUGAGAAAUUACAUGUACAUAACCUAAAGCCGCUGAACCUAGCAACUUUGCAUUUUGGCUUGUUUGAUAAUCCUCAGGGAGACAUAAGUAAGACAAGAAUGAAGACAAUCAGUUCAUUUUUAAAAAGGUAUGAACUCUGAAAGACAACAAUUUAGCAACAUGAGAAUCCUGUUAAUAUUUUUGGAUGUCUUAAUUUUGGGAUGCAAGCUGAGCAGCUUUAUUUCUCAGCAACCAGUGCCAGCAGCUUUUUUUCCUUUUCUUUUAUUUCAAACACAACUUAAAUACCAAGAACUACUGUAAAUGCAACUUUCAUAUUGAGAAAUCAAGCACUCAAGAGUCAAACUUCGAAAGUUAAGAUUUCUCCUUCAGUGCUAAGGCACACAGCUCAUGAUUUUCUAUUCCCAUUUUCCAUAUUUGGUGUAAACUUGACUGGUUUACUAUUUAACAACAUAUCAAUAGGCCAGAUUAGAUUCACAAAAUAACGUUCAAGAAGGAACUUUAAUUUUUGGAGUUUUCUGACUUUUGGAUGCUUGAUUUCUUACCAUUUUAACUUGGCAUUGUUUACAAAAACUAAGAAGUUACAGGUGGUUGGGUUAUCUAGCGUAUGUCCAUGCCAUUAGAUCUAGGUUUUUGCAUUUUAUACUCAGAGACUGUGCAAAACAUUAGUUCUAUAUUCUUUCCUUACACACCACAACCAAGCAAGAAGUGAUUUCUGGACCAUUCCAACUUUUCAAAUCAGCGAGGAAAACGAUAUUGAAAGUUAAUAUCUAUUUAUUUAUGUAUUAUAGGACUCAGCUGAGUCCUACUUUAAAGAAAAACUAACAGGACAAAUAAAGGAUAACUCUCUAAAAAGCAGCGAAGACAUCAGAAGGCUUACCUUCUAUAACUUGAGUAACUUGGGACUGAAAGUUCUCGAAGUUAAAGGGGGUGAGAAAUCCAAGAGAUCCCAGAUGAAAAGCCAUAACUGGAGGUACGCUGCCCUGUCCAUAGAAAGAAGAAUUGGGAGGCUGUUACAUGUUGCACAAAUCAAACAUUUAUGUUAUUUCCAUGCUUUUUAAUGUAUAAGAGGUACCAUAUUACAGCCCAGUCUAUCUGCAAAUAUCUUAAUUAUGGAUUUUACUUCAGUUAAGCAUAAUAGUAAAAAACAAAGGUAUAAUUCACCUAAGUAGCUCUCAUGCUUUUUGAAUGAGAAGGGGAGACUUGGCAGGAGCAGAAUAAAAUAAACACAACAUGGCAGAAAACUUCAAGAUUGUCUCUAACACAGAGGACUUGAUUAGGGAAAGGACCUCUAAUUACUAUUCCCUAUAGGACUCACCUGAAAAAGUGAAGAAGCAUAAAGCAAGGUACCAUCUCCUCCCAGGCAUAUGAUAAAGUCUAUCUGAUUGGAGAUAUCAUCAUAAUCUAGAGGAUAACAUUGAAAAUAAAGGUUUAAUUUACACAAUGUAUCACAGGUUUCAAUUUAUGGAAUAAAUUUGGUGCAGCACACUGAUGCUAAUUUACAUGUGUAAAUGAUUGACACUAUCAAAACAGCUACAUGGGUUUAUCAAGAAUAGGUUUCCAUCAGACAAUUCUGAUUCAUUUGAAUGGAUCACUAAGGAAACAGAAUAAAAAGGCAGUAAACCUAGAUUUUAAGAAAUCAUUACUGUACCUUCUCUGAAAGUGCAAAAUUUCUUCUUCACUGGUCCAAAAUUAUCAUCAUUAACUAUGGCUGGGUCUUCUAGCACUUUUUUUUCUACAUAAACUAUCAUGUUGUUCUCCUAAAAGAAGCAUAAUUAUUUACUAAAAAAAAAAAAAUCUGUUAAUGAAAUGACAAGCGCCUGAGCAAUAUUCUAUUAGUUUACAAUGAUUUAAAUUACAUAUGAUGAUGUAAAAUAUUACAAGACUGAUUGCCUACUUCUGUAUGUAUUGUUACAAUCCUGCAGCAUUUAAGCAUAACACUUAUUGUCAUAUGAAGGCCACAUAACGAUUGAAUUAACGAAACUAAACUUCGGAAUUUUCAUUACAUGCCUGUGAUAUGGUAACACUGUUAUGUUUUCUAAUAUUUUUUCUCAAGGCAUAAUGAAAUGAAUAUUUUACCCUAUUCAUCUAUGUUAAAGAAGCAGAUUCCUUUAAGCUAAAUUAAGCUGAGCUCUUAUAGCAAGAGUAACUGGUUUUAAAGUUUAAUAAUUUAUUAUUUCUGUUCUCUAUA
Molecule: long non-coding RNA, 2470 nt
Organism: Chelonia mydas (Green sea turtle)
Lineage: Eukaryota; Metazoa; Chordata; Testudines; Cheloniidae
Exons: 2
Source: RefSeq, a predicted model, not a curated record